This is a long non-coding RNA of Felis catus (domestic cat), 753 nucleotides long. RefSeq lists it as uncharacterized. NCBI's taxonomy places the organism in Eukaryota, Metazoa, Chordata, Mammalia, Carnivora, Felidae. The record is from RefSeq and is a predicted model, not a curated record. The transcript has 3 exons.
UCUGGAGACAGCGCCCGACUGGGCUCAUUCGUUGGGACACCUUUGCCUGACGAACAUGUUCUCCUGUUGUGUGCCCGUGUCCCGCGGCUGCCGGCUCGGGGGAGCCCGUGGCCGCGACCCUUCCCGACCUGGGAGACAGUGGGUCUGGUCGUGCACAGGACAAUCAGUCUUUAGCUCGCAGGGACCCAAAGAAAUCAACGGAUGAAAUCGGGAAACGAUUGGCGGAAUCUGGAUUCACCCGCCCUACAGAGUUGUGUGUGAGCCCCGUUGCCCAGGAGGGCCACCCUGGACCCGUGGAGAGAGUGGUCGCACGCAGGUCACCGGAAGCAGGGCCUGGAGUUGGCCUGGGAAGGCCUCCUCCAGCGCCCCGGCCCCGCUGUAAGGUCUUCGUUCAUCGGUCCUGGGACCAGUAUUUGGAGUCCCCGGAGUCAGAGCCCGAGGAGUCCGCUGCAGGAGCAAAAGCCGGGUCGGCUCCAGAGCCCGGCCCAAAGGCAUCAGGGACCUCGGCGUCUCUGUAGGCAGGCGAUGUAUUUGGAGCGACUCCUGCAGGGGCCCGGGAGCCAGCAGGUGACCUGGGACCUUUGCGGGGACAGUGGGCACCUGAGCAGAGUCAGCUGGGUCCUGCUUCUGCCGGUUCCACUGUUCCCGCUUUUGCUCCCAACAGUGCUCCUGCCAUCGCCCUUCUCCCCGCCCCUGCCCCUGCCCUUGAUCCCACAUGCAUGUUGGCCAAAAAUCAAGGGCUUGACGACCGAU